GACGAACGCUGGCGGCGUGCUUAACACAUGCAAGUCGAACGGACAGACAGAGAGCUUGCUCUCUUGAAGUUAGUGGCGAACGGGUGAGUAACGCGUAAUCGACCUGCCCUUCAGAGGGGGAUAACAACGGGAAACCGUUGCUAAUACCGCGUACGAUUCAUGAACGGCAUCGUUUAUGAAUGAAAGGUGGCCUCUAUGUAUAAGCUAUCGCUGAAGGAGGGGAUUGCGUCUGAUUAGCUAGUUGGAGGGGUAACGGCCCACCAAGGCAAUGAUCAGUAGCCGGUCUGAGAGGAUGAACGGCCACAUUGGGACUGAGACAUGGCCCAAACUCCUACAGGAGGCAGCAGUGGGGAAUCUUCCGCAAUGGACGAAAGUCUGACGGAGCAACGCCGCGUGAGUGAUGAAGGUCUUCGGAUUGUAAAGCUCUGUUAAUCGGGACGAAAGAGUUCUGCGUGAAUAAUGCAGAAAAGUGACGGUACCGGAAUAGAAAGCCGCGGCUAACUACGUGCCAGCCGCCGCAGUAA
RNAcentral lists this ribosomal RNA (524 nucleotides) under uncultured bacterium. RNAcentral describes it as "partial 16S ribosomal RNA". It matches the Rfam family "Bacterial small subunit ribosomal RNA", at positions 28 to 523 of the family's 1533-position model. The record is from RNAcentral.